UGGGGAAUUUUGCACAAUGGGGGAGACCCUGAUGCAGCGACGCCGCGUGAUUUAGAAGGCCUUCGGGUUGUAAAAAUCUUUUCUAUGGGAAGAAAAUGACAGUACCAUAGGAAUAAGGACUGGCUAAUUACGUGCCAGCAGCCGCGGUAAUACGUAAGGUCCGAGCGUUGUCCGGAAUCAUUGGGCGUAAAGGGUACGUAGGCGGGUAAGCAAGUUAGAAGUGAAAUCCUGUAGCUCAACUACAGUAAGCUUUUAAAACUGCUCAUCUUGAGAUAUGGAAGGGAAAGUGGAAUUCCUAGUGUAGCGGUGAAAUGCGCAGAUAUUAGGAGGAAUACCGGUGGCGAAGGCGACUUUCUGGCCAUAAUCUGACGCUGAGGUACGAAAGCGUGGGUAGCAAACAGG
RNAcentral lists this ribosomal RNA (402 nucleotides) under Verrucomicrobiota bacterium. RNAcentral describes it as "Verrucomicrobia bacterium partial 16S ribosomal RNA". It matches the Rfam family "Bacterial small subunit ribosomal RNA", at positions 355 to 776 of the family's 1533-position model. The record is from RNAcentral. Lineage: Bacteria; Pseudomonadati; Verrucomicrobiota.